CGAGGACGCAAAAUAACGGUGCCCUCGUUUGACCCGGAAAAGGUUUGACGUAAUUUCAUUGCUGAACUUCGUGAUACAGCACUUUAAUUUCAAUUUAUAAUUACUCAAGACUCAUUGUCUUGAGAUGGCUGAGUCCUUUAAACAGUGGUUGGAGGCAGGGAAAGACCUGGCAGACGAGUUGUCAUCAAAAGUACCCCCAACGAAAAAAAAGCGCAAGACAGCAGGGGGCUCAAAUGUUACCUGGAGGAAGCGGGAACAAGAUGGGACGAU
Long non-coding RNA from Melanotaenia boesemani (Boeseman's rainbowfish), 270 nucleotides. RefSeq lists it as uncharacterized. The record is from RefSeq and is a predicted model, not a curated record. NCBI's taxonomy places the organism in Eukaryota, Metazoa, Chordata, Actinopteri, Atheriniformes, Melanotaeniidae. The transcript is spliced from 3 exons.